Molecule: microRNA precursor, 71 nt
Filed under: Dromaius novaehollandiae (emu)
Lineage: Eukaryota; Metazoa; Chordata; Aves; Casuariiformes; Dromaiidae
Description: miRNA (ENSDNVG00000011473.1)
Source: RNAcentral
GCUCCCUGCAGACAAUUUAUUGCAGCCUUCUCAGGGUGGCCCCCUGCUCUGUUCACCAGGGGGAAGGUGUA